Non-coding RNA from Oncorhynchus mykiss (rainbow trout), 611 nucleotides. Lineage: Eukaryota; Metazoa; Chordata; Actinopteri; Salmoniformes; Salmonidae. The record is from RefSeq and is a predicted model, not a curated record.
GUAUGAGAACCCAUCACCUGUGUAUGAGAACCCAUCACCUGUGUAUGAGAACCCAUCACCUGUGUAUGAGAACCCAUCACCUGUGUAUGAGAACCCAUCAGCUGUGCGUGACAACACACAACAAAAUCAAUCUCCACCUCUACCCCUGACAGACUUCAAGAGUACCUAUGAUACUAGGAUAAUGCAGUAAGAGGUCAGGAAGAGAUCUCCAUUCAACCACCAUUCUCCAGUUCCACAAUCAACACAAAGAAAACCUGAUAACACCCAGUGUGGAUCUGAAAUGUAACGUACAUAAUACAUUUGUGCUAUGUUUGUCUGCUUUCUUGUGUAAUUUUUUAACAUUGAAAAGAAAACCUUGUUAAUAAUGAAAGUGGAUAAUGCAUUACUGUACUGUCAUUUUAUAAAUUAGAGCAUAAUUAAUGCCAGUUAAAUAAAUAACCAUAUUUAAAUUAUGUAAAAACAGAAUGACUAAUAAAUAUUGCCUGCUAUUUUCCUACUACUCUGUUGUUCUUUGUGUCAGACCAGUGAUUACCAGUUUAUAAGAUAUAUACUGAACAAAACUAUAAAAGCAACAUGUAAACUGAUGGUACAAUGUUUCAGAGCUUAAAUAA